UGCAAGUCGAGCGAACUGAUUAGAAGCUUGCUUCUAUGACGUUAGCGGCGGACGGGUGAGGGCACGUGGGCAACCUGCCUGUAAGACUGGGAUAACUUCGGGAAACCGAAGCUAAUACCGGAUAGGAUCUUCUCCUUCAUGGGAGAUGAUUGAAAGAUGGUUUCGGCUAUCACUUACAGAUGGGCCCGCGGUGCAUUAGCUAGUUGGUGAGGUAACGGCUCACCAAGGCAACGAUGCAUAGCCGACCUGAGAGGGUGAUCGGCCACACUGGGACUGAGACACGGCCCAGACUCCUACGGGAGGCAGCAGUAGGGAAUCUUCCGCAAUGGACGAAAGUCUGACGGAGCAACGCCGCGUGAGUGAUGAAGGCUUUCGGGUCGUAAAACUCUGUUGUUAGGGAAGAACAAGUACAAGAGUAACUGCUUGUACCUUGACGGUACCUAACCAGAAAGCCACGGCUAACUACGUGCCAGCAGCCGCGGUAAUACGUAGGUGGCAAGCGUUAUCCGGAAUUAUUGGGCGUAAAGCGCGCGCAGGCGGUUUCUUAAGUCUGAUGUGAAAGCCCACGGCUCAACCGUGGAGGGUCAUUGGAAACUGGGGAACUUGAGUGCAGAAGAGAAAAGCGGAAUUCCACGUGUAGCGGUGAAAUGCGUAGAGAUGUGGAGGAACACCAGUG
RNAcentral lists this ribosomal RNA (676 nucleotides) under Priestia megaterium. Its description in RNAcentral is "bacterial SSU rRNA". It matches the Rfam family "Bacterial small subunit ribosomal RNA", at positions 56 to 714 of the family's 1533-position model. The record is from RNAcentral. Lineage: Bacteria; Bacillati; Bacillota; Bacilli; Caryophanales; Bacillaceae.